AACGAACGCUGGCGGCAGGCCUAACACAUGCAAGUCGAGCGCACCCUUCGGGGUGAGCGGCGGACGGGUGAGUAACGCGUGGGAACGUGCCCUUCUCUGCGGAAUAUCCUCGGGAAACUGAGAGUAAUACCGCAUACGCCCUUUGGGGGAAAGAUUUAUCGGAGAAGGAUCGGCCCGCGUUGGAUUAGGUAGUUGGUGGGGUAAUGGCCCACCAAGCCGACGAUCCAUAGCUGGUUUGAGAGGAUGAUCAGCCACACUGGGACUGAGACACGGCCCAGACUCCUACGGGAGGCAGCAGUGGGGAAUCUUAGACAAUGGGGGCAACCCUGAUCUAGCCAUGCCGCGUGAGUGAUGAAGGCCUUAGGGUUGUAAAGCUCUUUCAGCUGGGAAGAUAAUGACGGUACCAGCAGAAGAAGCCCCGGCUAACUCCGUG
This 433-nucleotide ribosomal RNA is filed under the name uncultured bacterium. RNAcentral describes it as "partial 16S ribosomal RNA". It matches the Rfam family "Bacterial small subunit ribosomal RNA", at positions 29 to 507 of the family's 1533-position model. The record is from RNAcentral.